Molecule: long non-coding RNA, 328 nt
Filed under: Elaeis guineensis (African oil palm)
Lineage: Eukaryota; Viridiplantae; Streptophyta; Magnoliopsida; Arecales; Arecaceae
Description: long non-coding RNA (EGUI_LNC032970)
Source: RNAcentral
AUCAAUCAGGUUUACCAUCAAAUCGAUGCCACUUGGCCGCAAUCAAUGACUCUGAUAAGAAUCCUUUCAUCACAUCUCUUUCUGAUUAAGCCACACAAGCUUGAUCUAUGUGAUGAUUAAAAUAACCAACAGCAUAGUGGCAUAUGGCAAGUGGAGUAUCAGGCCAUAUUAGCAGGACCUCCUAAGUAAUUAUAAAUUUUUGAUUCUCUAGGCCCUCAUAAUUGCUGGAAGGUCCAAUGAGAUGUUUUCAAAAAAAGACAUGCCACAUCGAAUGGUUAAAAAAUUAAUAUUGUCAACCAUCAUGUGGCGCAUUUAUUGCUGAUGGCAG